UACGGAGGAUCCGAGCGUUAUCCGGAUUUAUUGGGUUUAAAGGGUGCGUAGGUGGAUUGGUAAGUCAGUGGUGAAAGUUUGCAGCUUAACUGUAAAAUUGCCGUUGAAACUGCCGGUCUUGAGUGCAAAUGAGGUAGGCGGAAUGCGUCGUGUAGCGGUGAAAUGCUUAGAUAUGACGCAGAACUCCGAUUGCGAAGGCAGCUUACUGGUAUGCAACUGACGCUGAGGCACGAAAGCGUGGGGAUCAAACAGGAUUAGAUA
Molecule: ribosomal RNA, 261 nt
Filed under: uncultured prokaryote
Description: partial 16S ribosomal RNA
Rfam family: Bacterial small subunit ribosomal RNA
Source: RNAcentral